Long non-coding RNA from Diprion similis, 157 nucleotides. RefSeq lists it as uncharacterized. NCBI's taxonomy places the organism in Eukaryota, Metazoa, Arthropoda, Insecta, Hymenoptera, Diprionidae. The transcript has 3 exons. The record is from RefSeq and is a predicted model, not a curated record.
UUAUCUUUUGAUUAAAAAGAAACCGAAAAGAGUUCAUAACGAGUUUGCCACAAGCUAUUACAACUCGCCUACAAUAAUUAAUUUAUAAGCUCCGCGAGUGAAUCGUUUAUUCAACCUUAUUAUGUAAUUACUGAUAUUAUUAUUAUUAUUGUAAUUA